UAUGCCUGAACCUGGAAUAACACGAACCAAUUUCACUGUCUUUCCUCAAAUAUCUGCAAGUGCUUCUACACUACACUCUCGACACAAAAAAUUCAAUCGAUUUUGAAAAUCUCUGAAAUUUCUUCAAGAAAACAAUCACUUUCUUUAGUAACAAAUGCCAUUUCCUGAGCAAUUAAUUUUGUGCCAUAAAUUUAUCCCCUUUUGUUUGGAAAGUUUACUUAUCUGUUAUGAGACGAAGCAAGGAGGCCAACUGAAAUUGGGAAAGAAGAAAAGAGGAAGACCACAAGCAGAGAAAGAAGGAAAUGCAGCCAACGAUUUUACAUAAAAACUCAAUUCGGGAAACGGUGUCGUUUUGGAUCAAAUGAAAUAUUCAAAAGCUAAACACGUUUUCUUUAGUUUUCAGUUUCCCUUUUUACACUUUUGACUUCUAUUAUAACCAUCAGGUGGAGGAGAAAAGGGCAAGUUGAUUGUGAAAAAAAAACCCUUUAUCUCAGAACUCUCUCUCUAUACUCUUUCUACUUCAUAUCUAUUUCUUAUCUUCUUUAAUUUCUUCUUAGUUGGUGUAAUUGACUUGGUUAUUCCAAUUAAUAUUGUAAUUAAUAUACUAAGUGUUGAAGUUCCUUUUCCAAUUUUUGUGUUAUCAUUGCUGCAAUUGUUGGUUUUGGGUUGAGAUUCAAGCUCAACCAUUACAAUUGGUAUCAGAGCAUGUGAUUCGGGUAUGGCUGAAACUAGGAGCAAAUCAAAUGAGAAGCACCUUAAGAGUUAAAUAAAGAAAUAUCAGAUUUGGGUAUGGCAGCAAAAUCAUGGGAUCAAAUGUUGAAGGUGGUUUGCUAUGGAGCAUUUGAUGGGAGAAAUGAACAGUAAAUAUGAAUCUAUGGUAUAUAUGAUUGCUCGGAUAAAUGAGAGUAAAGCAAACCACAAGGAGAAACGAGUUGGGUUAUGGUACUCUAUCUCAAAUCACCAAUGGUAGUCUUUUGGAAAGUUACCAUCACUCUGGAAAUACAGUGGGAGCUAGAGAGACUAGAAUGAAUACCAAAUUACCCAACAUAGAUUUUCCUUAUUUUGGAGGAGGAGAAGGUCCUAGAGAAUGGUUGUGCGAAGCCUGAAAAUAUUUCCAGAUACAAAA
This 1126-nucleotide long non-coding RNA is filed under the name Olea europaea (common olive). RNAcentral's name for it is "long non-coding RNA (OEUR_LNC013317)". The record is from RNAcentral. Lineage: Eukaryota; Viridiplantae; Streptophyta; Magnoliopsida; Lamiales; Oleaceae.